UGUGAACUCGAAGAGUAGGGCGGGACACGUGGUAUCCUGUCUGAAUAUGGGGGGACCAUCCUCCAAGGCUAAAUACUCCUGACUGACCGAUAGUGAACCAGUACCGUGAGGGAAAGGCGAAAAGAACCCCGGCGAGGGGAGUGAAAAAGAACCUGAAACCGUGUACGUACAAGCAGUGGGAGCACCUUCGGGUGUGACUGCGUACCUUUUGUAUAAUGGGUCAGCGACUUAUAUUCUGUAGCAAGGUUAACCGUAUAGGGGAGCCGCAGGGAAACCGAGUCUUAACUGGGCGUUAAGUUGCAGGGUAUAGACCCGAAACCCGGUGAUCUAGCCAUGGGCAGGUUGAAGGUUGGGUAACACUAACUGGAGGACCGAACCGACUAAUGUUGAAAAAUUAGCGGAUGACUUGUGGCUGGGGGUGAAAGGCCAAUCAAACCGGGAGAUAGCUGGUUCUCCCCGAAAGCUAUUUAGGUAGCGCCUCGUGAACUCAUCUUCGGGGGUAGAGCACUGUUUCGGCUAGGGGGUCAUCCCGACUUACCAACCCGAUGCAAACUACGAAUACCGAAGAAUGUUAUCACGGGAGACACACGGCGGGUGCUAACGUCCGUCGUGAAGAGGGAAACAACCCAGACCGCCAGCUAAGGUCCCAAAGUCAUGGUUAAGUGGGAAACGAUGUGGGAAGGCACAGACAGCCAGGAUGUUGGCUUAGAAGCAGCCAUCAUUUAAAGAAAGCGUAAUAGCUCACUGGUCGAGUCGGCCUGCGCGGAAGAUGUAACGGGGCUAAACCAUGCACCGAAGCUGCGGCAGCGACACUAUGUGUUGUUGGGUAGGGGAGCGUUCUGUAAGCCUGCGAAGGUGACCUGUGAGGGUUGCUGGAGGUAUCAGAAGUGCGAAUGCUGACAUAAGUAACGAUAAAGCGGGUGAAAAGCCCGCUCGCCGGAAGACCAAGGGUUCCUGUCCAACGUUAAUCGGGGCAGGGUGAGUCGACCCCUAAGGCGAGGCCGAAAGGCGUAGUCGAUGGGAAACAGGUUAAUAUUCCUGUACUUGGUGUUACUGCGAAGGGGGGACGGAGAAGGCUAUGUUAGCCGGGCGACGGUUGUCCCGGUUUAAGCAUGUAGGCUGGUUAUCCAGGCAAAUCCGGAUAAUCAAGGCUGAGGUGUGAUGACGAGGCACUACGGUGCUGAAGUAACAAAUGCCCUGCUUCCAGGAAAAGCCUCUAAGCAUCAGGUAACAUCAAAUCGUACCCCAAACCGACACAGGUGGUCAGGUAGAGAAUACCAAGGCGCUUGAGAGAACUCGGGUGAAGGAACUAGGCAAAAUGGUGCCGUAACUUCGGGAGAAGGCACGCUGGUGUGUAGGUGAAGUCCCUGCGGAUGGAGCUGAGACCAGUCGAAGAUACCAGCUGGCUGCAACUGUUUAUUAAAAACACAGCACUGUGCAAACACGAAAGUGGACGUAUACGGUGUGACGCCUGCCCGGUGCCGGAAGGUUAAUUGAUGGGGUUAUCCGUAAGGAGAAGCUCUUGAUCGAAGCCCCGGUAAACGGCGGCCGUAACUAUAACGGUCCUAAGGUAGCGAAAUUCCUUGUCGGGUAAGUUCCGACCUGCACGAAUGGCGUAAUGAUGGCCAGGCUGUCUCCACCCGAGACUCAGUGAAAUUGAACUCGCUGUGAAGAUGCAGUGUACCCGCGGCAAGACGGAAAGACCCCGUGAACCUUUACUAUAGCUUGACACUGAACAUUGAGCCUUGAUGUGUAGGAUAGGUGGGAGGCUUUGAAGCGUGGACGCCAGUCUGCGUGGAGCCAACCUUGAAAUACCACCCUUUAAUGUUUGAUGUUCUAACGUUGGCCCCUGACCGGGGUUGCGGACAGUGUCUGGUGGGUAGUUUGACUGGGGCGGUCUCCUCCCAAAGCGUAACGGAGGAGCACGAAGGUUAGCUAAUCCUGGUCGGACAUCAGGAGGUUAGUGCAAUGGCAUAAGCUAGCUUGACUGCGAGCGUGACGGCGCGAGCAGGUGCGAAAGCAGGUCAUAGUGAUCCGGUGGUUCUGAAUGGAAGGGCCAUCGCUCAACGGAUAAAAGGUACUCCGGGGAUAACAGGCUGAUACCGCCCAAGAGUUCAUAUCGACGGCGGUGUUUGGCACCUCGAUGUCGGCUCAUCACAUCCUGGGGCUGAAGUAGGUCCCAAGGGUAUGGCUGUUCGCCAUUUAAAGUGGUACGCGAGCUGGGUUUAGAACGUCGUGAGACAGUUCGGUCCCUAUCUGCCGUGGGCGCUGGAGAAUUGAGGGGGGCUGCUCCUAGUACGAGAGGACCGGAGUGGACGCAUCACUGGUGUUCGGGUUGUCAUGCCAAUGGCACUGCCCGGUAGCUAAAUGCGGAAGAGAUAAGUGCUGAAAGCAUCUAAGCACGAAACUUGCCCCGAGAUGAGUUCUCCCUGAGACUUUAAGUCUCCUGAAGGAACGUUAAAGACGAUGACGUUGAUAGGCCGGGUGUGUAAGCGCAGCGAUGCGUUGAGCUAACCGGUACUAAUGAACCGUGAGGCUUAACCUUACAACGCCGAAG
Molecule: ribosomal RNA, 2557 nt
Filed under: Klebsiella pneumoniae
Lineage: Bacteria; Pseudomonadati; Pseudomonadota; Gammaproteobacteria; Enterobacterales; Enterobacteriaceae
Description: bacterial LSU rRNA
Rfam family: Bacterial large subunit ribosomal RNA
Source: RNAcentral